UGAGAAUGGGUUUCAAGCAACGUGUUUGGAGUGUGGGAAUAACAUCCCUAGUUUGCAGCAGCAGAUCAGUUCCUUUAGGCAGCAAAGCAUUAACAUUCUUUGAUGGCAAUUUCAGGUAAUUCUCUAAGUGAUCUGUAUGGGGAGAGUGAGAAGAUGUGCAUUUCUUCUGAAAAUGUCAGAAUCACUAAUAUAGACAAAGAAAGUUUUGUAAGUGCCAGAGGUAAGAAAAGGAACACAAAGAUGAGAGGUGACUAAUGAAGAUUUUCAGGCUUUCAUUUUUUUUCUGCAUGGUUUGUAAAGACUGUCAUUCAGCACCAACGAAACAACAGCCCAAAUAACCAAGCCUUCCUGGAGAUGAAAUUCCAUGUGAUUUGAAGGAAUGCAGAAGUAAAAUUCAGCUCCCUUUCCUCUCAGUGCAGAGAGGGAACCACAUGGUGUGAAAAACCAUGUGGUAUGCUUAGCACUUUUUUGGCUUACAGAUUUCACCAGAGGUGCAGCCAUGAAGAGAAACAUUGAAGAGAACAUUGCAAUGAAGCAGGCUGAGUCCUCUGAUUCUUCCAGGCAGAAAAUGGCCAUAAACUGAGGAGCCUUUCAGGUUGUUUAAAUGUUGUUUAAAGGAUCUCCGUGACCUCUCCAAAAAGGACCUUCUCCUGAGCUUUGUUUUCUUUGCCACAUAGCAUGUGGUUGUGUCAUGGAGUUAUUUUUGUUUUACCACUUAUAAUGAAAGAUCUCUCUUCGCCAGUGCCUAGUUACUUAUGGUUACCUUAAAUAUGUUAAAAGUCAGUGAUAUUUGGAAUUGAGACAAAGGUCGAAGCUUAGUUCUAAAACUCAGGAUGUGGGAUUUAAGGAUUUCCAGAAUAAACAUUAGAGUGAAAUGAGAAACA
Molecule: long non-coding RNA, 884 nt
Filed under: Anas platyrhynchos platyrhynchos (common mallard)
Lineage: Eukaryota; Metazoa; Chordata; Aves; Anseriformes; Anatidae
Description: lncRNA (ENSAPLG00000030144.1)
Source: RNAcentral